GAUGAACGCUGGCGGCGUGCCUAAUACAUGCAGGUCGAGCGAACAGACGAGGAGCUUGCUCCUCUGACGUUAGCGGCGGACGGGUGAGUAACACGUGGAUAACCUACCUAUAAGACUGGGAUAACUUCGGGAAACCGGAGCUAAUACCGGAUAAUAUAUUGAACCGCAUGGUUCAAUAGUGAAAGACGGUUUUGCUGUCACUUAUAGAUGGAUCCGCGCCGCAUUAGCUAGUUGGUAAGGUAACGGCUUACCAAGGCAACGAUGCGUAGCCGACCUGAGAGGGUGAUCGGCCACACUGGAACUGAGUCACGGUCCAGACUCCUACGGGAGGCAGCAGUAGGGAAUCUUCCGCAAUGGGCGAAAGCCUGACGGAGCAACGCCGCGUGAGUGAUGAAGGUCUUCGGAUCGUAAAACUCUGUUAUUAGGGAAGAACAAAUGUGUAAGUAACUAUGCACGUCUUGACGGUACCUAAUCAGAAAGCCACGGCUAACUACGUG
This 497-nucleotide ribosomal RNA is filed under the name uncultured bacterium. RNAcentral describes it as "partial 16S ribosomal RNA". It matches the Rfam family "Bacterial small subunit ribosomal RNA", at positions 28 to 507 of the family's 1533-position model. The record is from RNAcentral.